Long non-coding RNA from Danio aesculapii, 272 nucleotides. RefSeq lists it as uncharacterized. Lineage: Eukaryota; Metazoa; Chordata; Actinopteri; Cypriniformes; Danionidae. The transcript is spliced from 3 exons. The record is from RefSeq and is a predicted model, not a curated record.
CAUGACUUUCCAGGUAAAGAUGUUGUGUUAGCGUCUUGACUGACUGAACUGAGUGACUGCACAACAUGAAUAAAUGAUCAGAGCGGAGAGGAGACUGACUCACCAGCAAACAAGCCCCGCUGUCGGAAAAAGCCAGACAGCAGUGUUAAUUAGAGGAGCAGGAAGAUAGAAGCAGCAGGGGCAGUCGAUGAAUGCCUGUGUGGUUUGACUUUGGUGGGGAGGAAGGCGAGGUUUGCUGUUAAAAGAGGCUAAACGGAUGACAGGCAUUCAGU